RNAcentral lists this ribosomal RNA (389 nucleotides) under uncultured bacterium. RNAcentral's name for it is "bacterial SSU rRNA". It matches the Rfam family "Bacterial small subunit ribosomal RNA", at positions 28 to 424 of the family's 1533-position model. The record is from RNAcentral.
GACGAACGCUGGCGGCGUGCUUAACACAUGCAAGUCGAGCGGUAAGGCCCUUCGGGGUACACGAGCGGCGAACGGGUGAGUAACACGUGGGUGACCUGCCUCUAGCUCUGGGAUAAGCCUGGGAAACUGGGUCUAAUACCGGAUAUGACUCCACGGCGCAUGUUGUGGGGUGGAAAGCCUUGUGUGGCUAGAGAUGGGCCCGCGGCCUAUCAGCUUGUUGGUGGGGUGAUGGCCACCAAGGCGACGACGGGUAGCCGGCCUGAGAGGGCGACCGGCCACACUGGGACUGAGACACGGCCCAGACUCCUACGGGAGGCAGCAGUGGGGAAUCUUGCGCAAUGGGCGAAAGCCUGACGCAGCGACGCCGCGUGAGGGAUGACGGCCUGGUU